Molecule: non-coding RNA, 643 nt
Filed under: Amazona aestiva (blue-fronted amazon)
Lineage: Eukaryota; Metazoa; Chordata; Aves; Psittaciformes; Psittacidae
Description: Eukaryotic large subunit ribosomal RNA
Rfam family: Eukaryotic large subunit ribosomal RNA
Source: Rfam by way of RNAcentral
UUAACUGAUCACUGGCAAGGAAGAGCAAAUGAGAACUAAACAAGUAUUUGCUCUAGAUAAAGAAGAAAAUGCAUCUUCAUGCAGUGAGCCCUGCGAUGUGCUGGAGUACAGAAACUCCNUUCCCUGGCGGGGCUCUUUGGGGACCCAAGUCCUUGCGGUUGAGGCUGGGGCCUGCAGACAGUGUGAGGCCAGUAGUGGUCCCCUGGCACACUGGGUCUUGAGCUUCUUGGAGUCGGNUUGCUUGGGAAUGCAGCCCAAAGUGUGGGGUGAACUCCACCUAAGGAUAAAUGCCAGUAUGUGACUGAUAGCCAACAAGUCCCAUAAGAGAAAAGUGAAAAGAACUUUGAAGAAUGGUAAACGCUCCAUCCCUGGCAGUGUUCAAGGCCAGGCAGGAGAGAACCUUGGGAGGUAUGGUCUAGUGUGAGGUGUCCCUGCCACGGCAGGGGGAUUGGAACUGGAUGAUUUUAAGGUCCUUUCCAAUACAAUCUAUUUUAUGAUUCUAUGAUUUUAUUAUUACCUAAAAAUAAAUAAAAUAUCCUNUUAGCAUAAUCUACUUUAAAAACUAAAUCUCAUUUUUAGGUUAUUAGAGCUGCUACAGCCUGUAGCAUGCAUGCACAGAGCUCCCAUAAAUUUUGAGAAAAGG